UUCUACCAAAUUGCUAUCAAUAUAUAAAGCAUCCAAAAUUAUUGAACAACCAAUAAAAACAUAUCUCAAAGUCAAAUAUUAUAAAUACUUUCAUGAAUACAAAGUUAGUUAAAUAUAUACUACACAAUACUUCAUUGUUCGUUAUCAUUGUACGCAUAUACAUACGAUAAAAAAGAAAAAGUAGAAUAUUAAGUGUCUUCAAUCUCCUCCUUGGUCAAUGCCGCUUGUGAUCACGUUUAAGAAACCUUGUCCCUGUUAUUAAGGAAAAAUUACACAUAAUUACUUUGACAAUCUCAUAAUUUAAAGAUAAUAGCAAAAAGGGUGAUCACACUUGAUUUAACUAUUUUAUUAGCUAUUAGGAAAAGAAAGUUUGAUAUCAAAAAGGCUAUAUAGGAAAAGCUACCAAUAUCAAAUACAUUAACCGCUAGAAGUAGAUCCAGAGGCAUUGGAAAUGUAUACUAACUCUUAAGAGCAACUCUAAAAGUGAAACAGAGAGUGCCAGGUUUAUUCACCCAUUCAACAACCCAGCAUUUCAAGUCUUAGUGGCAGGAUUUUCUUUAACUAGCAGAACCAACCAAGUGGAAUAAGUUAAUUCCUCUUAGAAAUGUUAUGACAAUCUAAUCUUAUCUAUCAUAUUUAUUGCUCCUUAUUUAUAUGAACCAUCAAUUGACCCAAGGAAGAGUUCCAAUAAAGCUAACAACUCAACAAAUUAAGCUAGUAAAGGGACGGAUUCAAAAGAGGUAACAACAUAUAGAAUCGUCAAUACAAAGAUGUCGUUUUCACUAUUAGUGUAUACCUAAUUUAUAAAUAUUCUUUGGAAAGGACUCUUAUAUGCAUUUAAACGUCAAAAGAAAAACUUAGAGAGUGAGGAAUAUUUCCGGCACAUAGAAGGUGAAGCAGAGACAAAAUACCAAACAUUUCUAUUAUGAGGCAAAAACAAACACGUUACGUACAAUUACCUAUUUUUUAAAGUGUAGGUAUCUUAAUUCCUCACAUUGUCCAAAUUUAGCAAGAAAACAAACCAAAGAUGACCAUCAGGUACUUCACAUAUAUAAAGUAGUACAAAAUCAAGCUUUUCGGAAUCAAGCACAACAUUUGAAGUUGUAUUUCGACUACAUUUAAGUCAAUAAAAUAGACUAUUCAAAAUUGCAAUAUGAUUUUUUAAACGACAUAUCAGACAUCAAUGGAUAUAAAUUCUCAAUGUGUCAACUCUAGUUGUAAAGACUUGAAAAUAACAUACAUAUUAUGCAAAAAGUGUCUUAUUAAGACCUAUAAUUUUCACUAGCAAGCAGUAACCAGUUUACCAAAGAAACUUUAAGAUGAAAGUUCACAUAUUAACACACACAUGCCAUCCUAACUAAGAACAUGUUUAAUAGAGUUUAGAUGAAAACAGACCCAUGAAGAUUGCAGUUUUACUCAUAGAACAUGUUUCCAGAUUUAUACAACUACUCAAGGUUAUGACAUAUUAAGGCAUAACAGGAAGCUAAUCAUAUUUCUUGAAGACCUGACUUAAAAAAAAGAAGAAGAUGUACUCCACAUUUUAAUCAUCAUUCAGUAAGUAUUCUUUUUUAUUUAGCUCUGCACCUAAAUAUAGCAUAGAACACCUACUGGUGAUGAGUUUUAUGUAUACAUGGGAAUAGACUCCAAACAACAAGUCAAAAAUAGUACAAAUAAAUGAAAAUCCCUUCAGGUCACUUAAUUUGUCAUAUCCUAAAUAAAUUCCUUGAGAAAUAUUUUAAUAGUAGCGAAGAAGAGCAGACCAAAUCAUGUUCUAGAUUGGAUUAAAAAACAUAGCUCGGCCUUAUGCGUCCUUCAGACGAGUAAUGUCCGUAGAAUUAUUAUGAUAAUAUUUUUCCAAGUUAUACACAUGUUCGUGCAUGGUAUAGUCGAGAAAAUAACAAAAUUUAGUUUUCUAUCAAAUUAGCUACUGAUUCAUGGCGUUUUACUAAAGCAUAGUUUCUAAGUCAUGGGUGAAAAAACUGAAGUCAGAUUUUCCAAUACAAAUAGAAUCUUUAGGAACAACAAUAAACCGUAUUUGUAUAGUCUCUUAAAUGGAAAAGAACCAAAAUACAUAUUAGCUAAAAGGAAUAAGAUUUUUCCUUAUACAAAUAGUAUCUCUUAAAUGGAAUAGGAUUUUCCAAAGCCAUGAUAUUUAUAGACAUAAUCAGAACUCAAAUGGAGUUAUGAAUCAAAACGAAGAUUAGCUUUGAUGAAAACACCCAAACCAAAGAACACCAUUGUAGAUUUCUGAAAAAAGUAUUUAUAAUGUAAGUCAAAUUUUCACUGCUCUUCUAUAUCAUAAGGGCAAUUUAUUAGUGUUGGCAUUCUAAUAGUGAAAGUUACUGCCCCAUAAUACUUUUAUUAUAAAUAUUAUAUCUAGUACAACUCCAACUUUAAUCUAAAGAAGAACAAAUAUGAAAUUCUUGACAACAUGUUUUUCAUUCAUUGAGUACUCACUAAAAUGAUUCAUUAGGCAUUGACAUCCUAGUGUAACCAAUGAAUCAAUUUCCUUUUGUGUGGCAUCCUAAAAGUAAUACCAAUAGUAAAUCUUAGAAGCUCCACUUAUACUCCCGUCUCCCCAAGGAAAGGCAGUAAAAUAUAAUGAAAGAAUGAAAUAAAAAAGGUAAUUAACUUUGUAAAGCCUAUGGCAAUUUAGUAUAUAUGAUCAAGCAAUAAAACAACUAUAUCCAAAAUUUGAACACCCCUAUAAUAAAUAGAGGCACAACAGAAGGCCCAAUCAUAGAUUAUAGAAGAAAAUAAAUAACUACAAAUCUUAUUGAACAACAUCAAUGAAUCUUAACAAAAACUUGUGACAUUUAUACAAUCAAAAGAAAGACUCUUUCUAUAAGAGCAGCAAUAUACGAUUGAUGGUAAAAUUAGCAUUCUACCCAUAAUGAAAAUCACUACAAUGAACAUAGACUUGCGAUACCAAACCGGCAAUAAAUCCAAAACAUUUUGAGCAUCCAUAAAUUAUACUAAUUGGGAAAUAACAUACAAACCCAUCACUAGAUCUGUCAUCAUCCUAUCCAUUCCACAAUUUCAUAUCAAAUUUCAUAUGCUCCUCCAAAUCAAAAACUAAAAUUGACAUUAACCCUAAAACUCAAGAGCAGAAGUUUCCAAGAAUCUUCAAAGAAAUCCAACUUCUCUGUUCAAUAAUACAUUUUUACCAGAUUUGAGAAAAAAAUCCAAACAAAAUAUAUAGUAUUAAAUAUCAAGUUUCAGCAACAAAAGUUUCCUAUCACACUCUAAAAAUCCGAAUUAAUACAGGCAUAAAUAAGGAAGAACGUUGAGAAAUAAACUAGAAAGUAAAAUACCAAAAAGAAAAUCUCCAAGUUGCAAACCUCAAAGGAAAUGAGGAAAAUACCUAAGUUCUAGGCGUACUGAAGAUACGUAAGUUCCUCUCCAAAAACAAAUAGAUUGCUUCCAUCUUCUAUUCCAUCUCUCAACUCGGAAUCUUCUCCAACAUCAACGAUUCGAGCUAUAUAGAGAGAAGGUGGGCUCUUAAUGGCUCUCAUGGAAACCAAUAAGAAUUUCAGAAGAAGGUGGUGAAGGGAUUUGGGAAAAUGGAGAGUUUUAAAUGGCCAUCAGAGUUCUAGGGUUUUGGCAGAAAGAGAUGAACGAUUUGGGUAAAUGAGAGAAAUAAAAAAAGACAGGAAGCAUUUACUUAAAAUUAUAGUUUUCUAAUUUUAUGAUGAAAGAAUUAGAG
Molecule: long non-coding RNA, 3706 nt
Filed under: Nicotiana tabacum (common tobacco)
Lineage: Eukaryota; Viridiplantae; Streptophyta; Magnoliopsida; Solanales; Solanaceae
Description: long non-coding RNA (NTAB_LNC003219)
Source: RNAcentral